AAAGUUAAAUAAAAAACGCAGUGAACUGAAACAUCUAAGUAGCUGUAGGAAAAGAAAUCAACCGAGAUUUCGGAAGUAGUGGCGAGCGAACCCGAAAAAGCCCAAUAAAUUCCAUUGUCAAAAUAUAGGGUUGAAACCCCGUUUUAGGAAUUAUUAUUUGUGAGUACUGCGAGGCAUGUGUAACCUUGUAGGAAUAUUAGAAAACCACUUCUAAAGGCUAAAUAUUGUUUAGAAAUCGAUAGUGAAAAAGUACUGUGAAGGAACGAUGAAAAGAUUAUCUAGGUUGAGUGAAAAGAUCUUACAAUUUUUUUUCGAUAAGUAAUCAAAGUUUUUAUAAAAAAUAAUGAUGUACCUUUUGCAUCAUGGGCCAACAAGUUAAAACAUAUAGCAAGCUUAAUUUUAAAAGUAGGCGUAGAGAAAUCGAGUUCGAAAGAAUGUUAAAGUUAUUUGUUUUAGACCCGAAACCAAGUGAUCUAACUAUGAGCAGGUUGAAGUUUUUUGAAAGAAAAAUGGAAGGCCGAACCCGUAUCUGUGGCAAAAGAUUGGGAUGACUUGUAGUUAGGGGUGAAAGGCCAAUCAAACUUGGAGAUAGCUGGUUUUCCGCGAAAUCUAUUUAAGUAGAGCGUCUUUGUAUUUUCGAUAUCUGGGGUAGAGCUCUCGAUGGGUGCGGGGGGCUUCGGCUUUACCAAGCUCACUGAAACUACGAAUACGGAAUAUUUGAACAAAGGCAGACAGACUUUGGGUGCGAAGAUCCUAAGUCAAGAGGGAAACAGCCCUGAAUGCAUAAUAAGGUCUCUAAUUUCUAUUGAGUGAUAAAGGCUAAAAAACUCGAGGAUAAUCAAAAGGUAAGCUUGGAAGCAGCUAUCCUUGAAAGAAGGCGUAAUAGCCCAUUGAGUAAGAGUUUUUUAUCCGAUAAUGUAUUGAGGCUAUAUAGAAAACCGAAUUAGCAUAUUAUUUUAUAUAAUGGUAGCGGAAUGAAGUAUAUAUCUAAACAGUUAAAUUGAUAAAUUUAAUUAAGAUUUUACUUAUAAGAAUGUUGGCAUGAGUAACAAAAAAUAACGGUCAAAACAUAAUCGUUAUCACCGAAAAUCCUAGGUUUACAUAGAAAAGAACGACUUCUAUGUGUUAAUCGGUCUCUUAGGGUUACGCGAAAGUUAUACCUGAUGAGAAAUUUUUAU
RNAcentral lists this ribosomal RNA (1178 nucleotides) under Cafeteria roenbergensis. RNAcentral describes it as "partial Bacterial large subunit ribosomal RNA". It matches the Rfam family "Bacterial large subunit ribosomal RNA", at positions 168 to 1432 of the family's 2925-position model. The record is from RNAcentral. Lineage: Eukaryota; Bigyra; Bicosoecida; Cafeteriaceae.